RNAcentral lists this ribosomal RNA (253 nucleotides) under uncultured bacterium. RNAcentral's name for it is "partial 16S ribosomal RNA". It matches the Rfam family "Bacterial small subunit ribosomal RNA", at positions 524 to 776 of the family's 1533-position model. The record is from RNAcentral.
UACGUAGGGGGCAAGCGUUGUCCGGAAUUACUGGGCGUAAAGCGUGCGCAGGCGGCUUUGCAAGACAGAUGUGAAAUCCCCGGGCUCAACCUGGGAACUGCAUUUGUGACUGCAUGGCUGGAGUGCGGCAGAGGGGGAUGGAAUUCCGCGUGUAGCAGUGAAAUGCGUAGAUAUGCGGAGGAACACCGAUGGCGAAGGCAAUCCCCUGGGCCUGCACUGACGCUCAUGCACGAAAGCGUGGGGAGCAAACAGG